This 63-nucleotide microRNA precursor is filed under the name Monopterus albus (swamp eel). Its description in RNAcentral is "Mal-Mir-221-P2a2_pre stem-loop". It matches the Rfam family "mir-221 microRNA precursor family", at positions 11 to 73 of the family's 84-position model. The record is from RNAcentral. Lineage: Eukaryota; Metazoa; Chordata; Actinopteri; Synbranchiformes; Synbranchidae.
ACCUGGCAUAUAGUGUAGGAUUCUGUGUGUGUCAGUCUACAGCUACAUUGUCUGCUGGGUUUC